CAAGGUCCGGUCUACGGGACUG
Molecule: microRNA, 22 nt
Filed under: Eisenia fetida (common brandling worm)
Lineage: Eukaryota; Metazoa; Annelida; Clitellata; Crassiclitellata; Lumbricidae
Description: Efe-Mir-10-P2h_3p* (star (passenger))
Source: RNAcentral